GACGAACGCUGGCGGCGUGCUUAACACAUGCAAGUCGAACGAAGAGCGACGGAAGCUUGCUUCUCUCAAUCUUAGUGGCGAACGGGUGAGUAACGCGUAAUCAACCUGCCCUUCAGAGGGGGACAACAGUUGGAAACGACUGCUAAUACCGCAUACGAUCUAACCUCGGCAUCGAGGAUAGAUGAAAGGUGGCCUCUACAUGUAAGCUAUCACUGAAGGAGGGGAUUGCGUCUGAUUAGCUAGUUGGAGGGGUAACGGCCCACCAAGGCGAUGAUCAGUAGCCGGUCUGAGAGGAUGAACGGCCACAUUGGGACUGAGACACGGCCCAGACUCCUACGGGAGGCAGCAGUGGGGAAUCUUCCGCAAUAGACGAAAGUCUGACGGAGCAACGCCGCGUGAGUGAUGACGGCCUUCGGGUUGUAAAGCUCUGUUAAUCGGGACGAAAGGCCUUCUUGCGAAUAGUGAGAAGGAUUGACGGUACCGGAAUAGAAAGCCACGGCUAACUACGUG
Molecule: ribosomal RNA, 510 nt
Filed under: uncultured bacterium
Lineage: Bacteria
Description: partial 16S ribosomal RNA
Rfam family: Bacterial small subunit ribosomal RNA
Source: RNAcentral